GCGCUUAAAGGCGUAUGGUGGAUGCCUUGGCAGAAGAUGCCGAAGAAGGACGUAGUAGGCUGCGAUAAGCCUCGGGGAGCUGUCAAACAAGCUUUGAUCCGGGGAUGUCCGAAUGGGGAAACCCCUUAGAACCUGUGCGUUGCACAGGAAUUUCUAAUUUCUAAUUUCUAAUUUCUAAACAAAUCCCAAUGACUAAAUUUCAAAAUCCCAAAAAUUUUGAACAUUGAAACAUUUGAAUUUAUGAUUUGUUUCAGAUUUCAGAUUUCAGAUUUAGAGUUUCUUGUGCUACGCACAGGUAGGCAAGCCGGUGAACUGAAACAUCUUAGUAACCGGAGGAAAAGAAAUCGAAUGAGAUUCCCUUAGUAGUGGCGAGCGAACAGGGACAAGUCUAAACCGUGCGGAGCACAUAAUUUUUAAUUUAAAAUUUCUAAUCAAUUUUAAAUUCUUAAUGCUUAAAAAUUAAAACAUUAGAAAUUCAAUAAAAAUUAGAAAUUAAUAAUUAAGAAUUGCGUGCUCUGCGCGGGGUUGCGGGACUCACAUAAUCAAAACGAAUAGAUAGGAGAACGAGCCUGGAAAGGACGACCAUAGAGCGUGAUAGUCGCUUAUCUUAAAUCUUGAGUAGUUGCGAGGUGAUGUUCCCAAGUAGCACCAGACACGUGAAACCUGGUGUGAAUCUGGGCCGUUCACGGUCCAAGACUAAAUACAUCUUCUGACCGAUAGUGAACAAGUACUGUGAAGGAAAGGUUAAAAGAACCCUAACAAAGGGAGUGAAAUAGAUCCUGAAACCAUACGCUUACAAUGAGUCAGAGCCGUGCAUGGCACAGAAUUUUUAAUUUAAAAUUUAGAAUAUUUAAUCAAUUCUUAAUUUUUAAUGUUUAAACAUUUAGACAUUAGAAAUUCAUAGAAAUUAGAAAUUAAUAAUUAAAAAUUGUGUGCUGUGCAUCGGUGAUGGCGUGCCUUUUGUAGAAUGACCCAACGAGUUAGCUAUGUGUAGCAAGCUUAAGCGAUAGAUCGCGGAGGCGUAGUGAAAGCGAGGGCUAAAUGCCCGAUUAGUUGCACAUACUAGACCCGAAACCGGGUGAUCUACCCAUGGACAGGGUGAGAGCAGGGUAAAACCUGCUGGAGGCCCGAACCACUCUAGGUGUCAAACUGGAUGGAUGAGCUGUGGGUAGCGGAGAAAUUCCAAUCGAACCCGGAAAUAGCUGGUUCUCCUCGAAAUAUAUAUAGGUAUAGCCUGGCAUAGUUCGCUUUUGGCGAACAGAGUUGCAGAAAGAGGUAGAGCACUGACUGAUCUACGGGGGCUUCGGCUCUCGUAUUCAAACAAACUCCGAAUUCUUUCUGAUUCAUGCCAGAGUCAGACUGUGGGGGCUAAGCUCCAUGGUCGAAAGGGAAACAGCCCAGACCGUAGUCUAAGGUCCCUAACUACAAUCUAAGUGGAAAAAGCAGUGAAAUCUCCAAAACAACCAGGAUGUUGGCUUAGAAGCAGCCAUGCAUUUAAAGAGUGCGUAAUAGCUCACUGGUCUAGUUAAGAGGUUUUGCGCUGAAAAUUCAACGGGGCUCAAGAUUGUGACCGAAGACACGGGCCGUGUCUCACUUUUGUUCGACACUCCAGAAAUGGAUGACGAAUUGACCAAAUAACCAAUGGCGAAUAAACAAAUAUUCGUAAAUUAGUUAUUAGUCAUUUAGACAAAUUCGUUAUCCUUAUGUGGACGUGGCGAGCGGUAGCGAGACACGGCGGUAGAGGAGCGUUCUUGGUGCAGUGAAGGUCGACCUGUGAGGGUGGCUGGAGCGCCAAGAAGUGAGAAUGUUGGGAUGAGUAACGAAUUAGCCAUGCGAGAAACAUGGCCACCAAAUACCCGAGGUUUCCUGGGCAACGGUAAUCGUCCCAGGGUUAGCCGGGCCUAAGUCGAGGCCGUUGUAAUGGCGGCGUAGACGAUGGACAGAAUGUUAAUAUUCAUUCGCUUUUGUAUAUAUAACCGAUGACGCCGAGGCGUAGUCGCAGAUAAACUAUGGUUUAUUGUCUGUGGUGUAGCCUUGGACAGGAAAAGUUCGGCUUAAAAGUAUACAAGAUCCGUACCGCAAACCGACUCAGGUGGGUGAGGCGAGAAGCCUCAGGUGAUCGGAAGAACUCUCGUUAAGGAACUCUGCAAAAAAGCGUCCGUAACUUAGGGAUAAGGACUGACUGUGCGGAGCACAGAAUUUUUAAUUUAAAAUUUGAAAUUUCUAAUCAAUUCUUAAUUCUUAAUGUUUAAAAAUUAAAACAUUAGAAAUUCAAUAAAAAUUAGAAAUUAAUAAUUAAAAAUUGUGAUGCUCUGCGCAGCCUGCAACUAAUGAGUCCAGGCGACUGUUUAUCAAAAACACAGGUCUCUGCUAAACCGUAAGGUGAUGUAUAGAGGCUGAUGCCUGCCCAAUGCUCGAAGGUCAAACCGGCCCUUGAUCGCACUUGUUGCGCUAGGGGGACGACUAAGCCCGAGUGAAUGGCGGCCGUAACUAUAAACCAGACCGAUUGUAGUUACGUUAAAAAAUUUAGCUAUAUGCUGGAAUAACCCGUGUAUCCGAUAAUACUCGACCGCAAGGUCAGUGAAAAUUUAUUCGGUGGGGUCAAUCAGCAGGAAAGACUUGGAAUUUAUUCCAAGAAUCCUCAGAGACUACACGCUAAACCAACCCAAAGAAAUAGAAACUUUGGAAUUUGGAUGAUAUAGUCCGAUCUGCAUGGCGACAUGCAGGCCCAGAUGGGCACCAUUAAUUUGGAAACAUCAAUGAACGGUCCUAUGGUAGCGAAAUUCCUUGUCGGGUAAGAAAUUUGCCCUUGAUAGCUAUAUCGGUGAAACCUUCAUCGCACGCGGGUGCGAUAUGGCAAUACCGAGGGAAGUCUAGUACAAAUCAGUUAUUGAAAAUGACCCCGUAGAGACUACACGCUGUCCUCCAAUGAAAAUUGGGGAAGAUAUAGUCCAUGCCUUGACGAAAGUCAGGGAGUAGUCGAUUAAUUUAUUAAAUUAAUUAUCGAUCAUGAAGUUCCGACCCGCACGAAUGGCAUAACGAUCUGGACACUGUCUCAACGAGAGGUCCGGUGAAAUUACACAGCCGGUAAAGAUGCCGGUUACUCGCAGCAAGACGGAAAGACCCCGUGGAGCUUUACUAUAGUUUGGUAUUGAAUCGGAAAACUUGAUAUGUAGGCUAGGUGGGAGACUUUGAAACCAUGGCGCUAGUUGUGGUGGAGUCGCAAUGUGAAAUACCACUUUUUAAUUUUUUUGAUUCUAACCUGGAUCUGUGAUACGGUCCGGGAACAGUGCUAGAUGGGUAGUUUAACUGGGGCGGUUGCCUCCUAAAUUGUAACGGAGGCGUUCAAAGGUGUGCUUAGCCCGGAUGGAAAUCGGGCCUCGACGUAUAAAAGCAUAAGCAUGCUUAACUGUGAGACCUACAAGUCGAACAGACGCGAAAGCGGGAUUUAAUGAUCCGAUAUUAUCUCGUGAUAGAUAUAUCGCUCAACGGAUAAAAGUUACCCCGGGGAUAACAGGCUGAUCGCAUCCAAUAGUCCACAUAGACGAUGCGGUUUGGCACCUUAACACAUUGGGGUGCUAGAGGAGUAAUCCUCUACCAAAAAUCUUCAAUAUUCAAUAUUGGAGAGCAAAAAUUCGGCUUAUAACGGUGAACCCCUAUUGUUUGUUCGUUUUAUGUUCGAUAGAAUAUAAGAAUAAACAAGGGCGAUACCGUGGGAAGUCUAACGUCAAUUCAGAAAGAGAUUUUAGUUGGGAGUUUGCUUGGUGACGGCGCAUUGCGAAGGCAAGGUACCAGAACCAAUGCUCUUCUUGAAAUCAACCACUCGUUUCAAUAUAGAAAAUAUGUUGAUUGGAAAUGGUCGCAUUUUAAAGAGUUCGUCAAAACUCCACCAAAAUCUCGCCAUGGCAAUGGCAAUCGUAUUGCUUAUCGCUUUACGACUCAAAGCCUUCCGCUUUUUACAGAAUAUUAUUUGAAAUAUUAUUCGAGCGGCAAAAAGGCAAUUUCAGCCGAUCUUAUCCUAACCAAUUUAGUGCUUUCUGUUUGGUUUAUGGAUGACGGUUCGAAGAGUCGGAAUACUUAUUAUCUAAAUACUCAGCAGUUUGAUCUGGCAAGCCAGAAAACAUUGAUGAAUAUUUUAGAUCGGGAUCUGGGAAUUAAAUCCAGUCUCAAUCGCGAUAAACAAUACUUUAGAAUUCGGAUAAGAACGGAAAGCGCGAAGCUAUUUCGAAAUAUUGUCGCGUCUCAUCUAUUGCUAUGUUUUCGUUAUAAAAUUGACUAUGACCCCGUAACGACUGACUCGAAAGAGGAGAUUUAGCUUUUGUAAAAGAAGCUAGAUAACACGCCGAACCCUACAUAAAAAAGUAAAGGAUAUGGCUUAAAAACCUAAAGUCCAACAGUAGGGAAAAGAUAUAGUCUACACCAUACGUAAUUAUGGAUAAAGGUACGAUGUCGGCUCAUCCUAUCCUGGAGGUGAAGCAGCUUCCAAGGGUCUGGCUGUUCGCCAGUUAAAAGGGUACGCGAGCUGGGUUCAGAACGUCGUGAGACAGUUCGGUCCUAAUCUGCUGUGAGCGUUGAAACUUGAGUGGGUAUUCCCCUAGUACGAGAGGACCGGGGAGUGUGGACCACUGGUGUAUCUGUUGCACGAACCUCGUGCAUUGCAGAGUAGCUAAGUCCUACUGGAUAAGUGCUGAAAGCAUAUAAGCGCGAAGCCAGCCACAAGAUUAGGUUUCUUAGACUCCUUGUAGACCACAAGGUUGAUAGGCUUUAGGUGUAAGUCCUGUGAGGGAUUAAGCCAAGAAGUACUAAUUAGUCGUUAAG
RNAcentral lists this ribosomal RNA (4818 nucleotides) under Candidatus Berkelbacteria bacterium CG10_big_fil_rev_8_21_14_0_10_43_13. Its description in RNAcentral is "23S ribosomal RNA". The stretch from base 2 to 3683 matches the Rfam family "Bacterial large subunit ribosomal RNA". Lineage: Bacteria; Candidatus Berkelbacteria. The record is from RNAcentral.